GUAGGUGGCAAGCGUUGUCCGGAAUUAUUGGGCGUAAAGCGCGCGCAGGCGGUUCUUUAAGUCUGAUGUGAAAGCCCACGGCUCAACCGUGGAGGGUCAUUGGAAACUGGAGAACUUGAGUACAGAAGAGGAAAGCGGAAUUCCACGUGUAGCGGUGAAAUACGUAGAGAUGUGGAGGAACACCAGUGGCGAAGGCGGCUUUUCUGGUCUGUAACUGACGCUGAGGCGCGAAAGCGUGGGGAGCAAACAGGGAUUAGAUACCCUGGUAGUCCACGCCGUAAACGAUGAGUGCUAAGUGUUAGGGGGGUUUCCGCCCCCUUAGUGCUGCAGCUAACGCAUUAAGCACUCCGCCUGGGGAUACGGCCGCAAGGCUG
RNAcentral lists this ribosomal RNA (374 nucleotides) under uncultured organism. Its description in RNAcentral is "partial 16S ribosomal RNA". It matches the Rfam family "Bacterial small subunit ribosomal RNA", at positions 527 to 896 of the family's 1533-position model. The record is from RNAcentral.